ACGGAAAGAGAGGGAUUCGAACCCUCGUUAGAACAUUCUAAACAGCAUUUCCAAUGCUAUGCUUUAAGCCACUCAGCCAUCUUCCCA
RNAcentral lists this transfer RNA (87 nucleotides) under Sheathia arcuata. RNAcentral's name for it is "tRNA-Ser". The record is from RNAcentral. Lineage: Eukaryota; Rhodophyta; Florideophyceae; Batrachospermales; Batrachospermaceae. RNAcentral also lists the same sequence under 1 other name.